This 301-nucleotide ribosomal RNA is filed under the name uncultured bacterium. RNAcentral's name for it is "partial 16S ribosomal RNA". It matches the Rfam family "Bacterial small subunit ribosomal RNA", at positions 509 to 807 of the family's 1533-position model. The record is from RNAcentral.
CAGCCGCCGCGGGAAUACGUAGGUGGCAAGCGUUGUCCGGAAUUAUUGGGCGUAAAGGGCUCGCAGGCGGUUUCUUAAGUCUGAUGUGAAAGCCCCCGGCUCAACCGGGGAGGGUCAUUGGGAACUGGGAAACUUGAGUGCAGAAGAGGAGAGUGGAAUUCCACGUGUAGCGGUGAAAUGCGCAGAGAUGUGGAGGAACACCAGUGGCGAAGGCGACUCUCUGGUCUGUAACUGACGCCGAGGAGCGAAAGCGUGGGGAGCGAACAGGAUUAGAUACCCGCGUAGUCCCUGUCUCUUAUAC